GCGGGGUUAGCUCAGUGGAAGAGCGCUUGCCUUACAAGCAAGAGGUCGUUGGUUCGAACCCAUCACCCCGCACCA
Molecule: transfer RNA, 75 nt
Filed under: Candidatus Aerophobota bacterium
Lineage: Bacteria; Candidatus Aerophobota
Also listed under: 1 other name
Description: Candidatus Aerophobetes bacterium tRNA-Val
Rfam family: tRNA
About the family: Transfer RNA (tRNA) molecules are approximately 80 nucleotides in length.
Source: RNAcentral